GAAGGGAAGUAGCUCAGUGGUAGAGCAUUUACUUUGCAUGCAGAACGUUUCAUGUUCAAUUCCUGGUGCCUUCA
This is a non-coding RNA of Podarcis lilfordi (Lilford's wall lizard), 74 nucleotides long. The record is from the annotation of a GenBank genome assembly. Lineage: Eukaryota; Metazoa; Chordata; Lepidosauria; Squamata; Lacertidae.